Molecule: ribosomal RNA, 422 nt
Filed under: uncultured bacterium
Lineage: Bacteria
Description: partial 16S ribosomal RNA
Rfam family: Bacterial small subunit ribosomal RNA
Source: RNAcentral
AGUAUUGGACAUUGGGCUAAAGCCUGAUCCAACCAUGCCGCGUGUGUUAAGAAUGUCAUCGCUUUGCAAAGUACUUUAAGUUGGGAGGAAGGGCAGUAAGUUAAUAUCUUGCUUUUUUGACGUUACCGACAGAAUAAUCCCCGGCUAACUUCGUGCCAUCAGCAGCGGUAAUACGAAGGGUGCAAGCGUAAAGCGGAAUUACUUGGCGUAAAGCGAGCGUAGGUGGUUUGUUAAGUUAGAAGUGAAAGACCCGGGCUCAAACUGGGAACAGCUUACAAAACUGGCAAGCUAGAGUAUGGCAGAGGGUGGUGGAAUUUCCUGUGUAGCGGUGAAAUGCGUAGAUAUAGGAAGGAACACCAGUGGCGAAGGCGACCACCUGGGCUAAUACUGACACUGAGGUGCGAAAGCGUGGGGAGCAAACA